This 765-nucleotide ribosomal RNA is filed under the name Austrochloritis stanisici. Its description in RNAcentral is "partial large subunit ribosomal RNA". Lineage: Eukaryota; Metazoa; Mollusca; Gastropoda; Stylommatophora; Camaenidae. The record is from RNAcentral.
UUAAUUAAAACAUAUAGUAUUACUUAUCACGAAGUUGAAGGAGCUAAUUAUUAUAUAUUUAUAGAUUACAAUAUGUUGCAUAAUUAAAUAAAUAAUAAUUAGGAGUGAUAGGCUUAUCAUAUUCAACGAUAACUUGAUGGUUUAAAAAAGUAUAUAGUACAUAAGCACUCUUUAAAUGAUAAGGUUUAAAGGGUAUAACAAAUGUUUAUAAUAUAAACAUUAUAUGGUUUAAUAAUUAAUAUAGUAGUAAUAUAAUAUUAAUUUAUUGUCAUUGUUUACAAUAUAAACCUAUUUUAAAACAAUAUUUUGAUAUAUAAUGUUAAUAUUAGUACUUAAGAGUUGUAUAUAAUAAACUCGGCAAGAAGUCUUUCAACUGUUUAUCAAAAACAUAGCUGUAUGAUUAAAUAUACAGUGUUUUCUGCUCAAUGAAUUUUAAAUAGCCGCAGUACCCUGACUGUGCUAAGGUAGCGCAAUAAAUUGACUUUUAAAUGAAGUCCUGUAUGAAAGAAAUUAUGGGGGACUACUUUCUCAUUUACAAUUAAAGAAUUUAAUUAUGAAGUGCAAAUUCUUCUAUAUAAAUAAUAGACGAGAAGACCCUAGAAAUUUUAAAGAAGUAACUUUUUGUUGGGGCAACAAAGUAGUAUAAUAAUCUACUAUUAUGACACGAACGAUAUAUCUUGAUAGAUUAAAUUACUCUAGGGAUAACAGCAUAAUUUAUAAUAGUUUGUGACCUCGAUGUUGGAUUAGGGAAUUUACAUUUAGAAG